GUCGAGAAUAAUUCACAAUGGGGGAAACCCUGAUGGUGCAACGCCGCGUGGAGGAUGAAGGUCUUCGGAUUGUAAACUCCUGUCAUCUGGGAGUAAGACCUGACGGUGAAUAGCCGGCAGGGUUGAUAGUACCAGAAGAGGAAGGGACGGCUAACUUCGUGCCAGCAGCCGCGGUAAUACGAAGGUCCCAAGCGUUGUUCGGAAUCACUGGGCGUAAAGGGAGCGUAGGCGGCGUGGUAAGUCAGAUGUGAAAUCCCGGGGCUCAACCCCGGAACUGCAUCCGAUAAUGCCAUGCUUGAGGGUUGGAGAGGUAGCUGGAAUUCUCGGUGUAGCAGUGAAAUGCGUGGAUAUCGAGAGGAACACUCGUGGCGAAGGCGAGCUACUGGACAACAUCUGACGCUGAGGCUCGAAGGCCAGGGGAGCAAAAGGGAUUAGAUACCCCGGUAGUCC
Molecule: ribosomal RNA, 450 nt
Filed under: uncultured bacterium
Lineage: Bacteria
Description: bacterial SSU rRNA
Rfam family: Bacterial small subunit ribosomal RNA
Source: RNAcentral